AGAAGCAAGGGCAAGUGGCAGAGAACCAGAAUCUCCAGAACCCGCUCCACCCAUAUAACUGAACCCGAACCCGGAUUCAAAUUCGGGUCCAAAGUCCACAAUACUGGUAAUCAUGGGGAGUAACCGGGUCUGGCAAAUCCAAACAUGCUAAAUCAUCAACGCCGACUCCAUGCAGGUAAGCACAAAACUGAAAGCUUAAAUUUUUAUUUCUGGGUUUCAUGUAAAGCUUUAUAAAUUAACUCGUCUCUUUUUCUUUUUUGGUAAAUUUGUUCUUUGGCCGUGUUUUAAUAGGUAUACAAGGGAUUAGAUGUUCUUACUAAUAACGUGCCCGUCCAAGACCAAAAGGGUCUGUUUAGUUUUCAUUUUGAUAGUUAAAUAGUUAAUAUAUAUGAUUGCUAAUGUGUUAGUUUUAGUAUUCCCUGAUUUGUAUUUGUUGAUAUGGAUCUUUGGCUAGGAUUGCCACUUUGUUGGGCACAAUCAGCCCGAAUGUUGAAUUUACAGCUAAACAUUUUUGGGAUGCCGCUAUUCCUGUAAGAUAUUCUUAGAAAAGUUAGCAAUUUUUGUUGUGAGAUUAUUACUUCUAUUGCAAUGUGAAUAUUACUUGCAGCAUUUUUGGCGGGAUCAUUGUGAAUUGCGGAUUAUAAAUGACGGUUGUAAUUGAUGUUUUGUUUUUAUAAUGUCUGCAUGUGAAUUAAAUUGGUUUCAAGUAGGCCAUUUUGAAUUGAAGGUGCAAUGUGGUUAUGUUGAGCUGAAAAUUGAAGUACAGGUUGUGCUCUGCUCGUAUAGAAUUGAUUAGCACUUGAGCAUGGUCAAACUAGUGUUCGGGGUAGUCAAUUAUUGCUUUUAAUCUUGGGUGCUCAAGUGUACUGGAACUUGAGUUGGAGCUGGAAAUUUUUUUUUUUAACGAGCUUAAUUUAGUAAGUAUACCAGUAAAAUAUUUUUUUUGGAAAUGUAUAAUAUACAUGAAGAAAUUAGCUUCAACAACUUUGCUAGCCAAGUAUCCAACUUGAGCUUGGUUAGAAUAUGCACUCAAGUGAUUGGUUACAGCCAAGUGGUGUCAAGUUUUUGAGUGCAUCAAGCUUGCUCGCGAGCAGCUUGGUUUUUUUGUGGAACUAAGCUGAAGUUUGCUGCAAAGCGGCACAAUGCUUCAAUCUUUUUUGUUGUUGGUUUGUUACAACUGGUAGUGCCUUGCUAGUUGGCUUUGGAAGUUCCAAAAUGAGCCAGAAACUCUUAUAAUGUUUUUCCCGAUCCAUGUACUCCUUUGAGGUUUCGAAGCCAGACCUGUGCAUGAGAUGAUACAAUUUAAUUUCACUGAUUUUGUGAACUCAAGGGAUGAAAAUCUUUUACAGAGAAAGCCAUAAUAUCAUAAGCAUAAUUGACAAAGGACGAGAACCAGUAGGAACAGAAAGUUCCCCUUUUCUAAUGCUAUUUUGUACAUCAUUAAUAGUUUCACUUUGUCUUAUUUGUCUGAGAAGCUACUAUUCUCAAGAAGCUGUAUUAGUGUGAAAUUGUUUCAUUGUGCAUCCUUUUACUGGUUCUUUUUGGCCAUCACAUUCUAUACUUCAUUCAUGAUUGAUUUCUAGAUAAUCAAGGUGAUAUGAUCCCGUACACGAUUUCCAGCCAUAGUUGGAGGAGGAAGUAAUUAAUAUAUUCAGGUAAAUCUUUAUUAACUUUUAUGUCAAAUUGAAACUGCCCUCAAUCCAGCGUCUAGACAGUUGGACUCUGACAGCGUUCCGGUUAUCUUGUUUUUUGCUGGCAUGUUAUAAGAUAUUACAUGUCUAGAGAUAUAUAUAUGCAACUCUUUCCUCCUAAAAUUGAUAUUUCACAGCGUUAUAUUCGUUUUUUUUUUAACAUAAUACUGUGUAGACUUUGAUACUCCUGUUUCCUCCACCAUUGUCUCAUGUCUGGGCUCUUGUAAGUCCGUUCCUUGUGAUGAAUCCCGGGGACAUGGAAUGAAACUCUUCAUUUGGUAAUCCUGGUAAAGCUUUUUUCUUUUAAUAUCUACAUUUCGAUUAAAAGAUGGCCCAAAUAUAUGUCUGAAUGGUGAAAUUUAUGUGCGUGCAAUGCUGCUUUUUGACAGGCCAUAAUGUUCGCAAUUGUGUCUCUCUUUUUGGGGGUUUUCUGAAGGUUCGAAGAGUUAAGGUUGGAAUAAGAGCAGAGAUUGCUAAGACAUUAAAAGCCAUGAAGUUUGUUGUAAAAUGACACAUACAAAUCCCUUGUCUUACACUGAACUAUGCAAAAAUUGAUGAUCACUCCUUAACAAGCUGCAGAAGCUUCUUCACCACACGAUCGACCUCUUCAUCUUCCUUCUCCUUUAUCUUUUUUGGGGUAAGUACCUUCUCCUUUACCUUGCUACUUAAAGAGUUUUUUAACUUUUUUUCUGAUUUUUCCCCCUUCUUGCACUACAACUUGUUUGAUCACCCAUGCAAUCUCUCCCUCUCUGAAUUUCCCAUUUUCCCAAGCUCCGCAACCAAUCUUGAAUUCAAGGGCUGAUCAAGUUGCAUAGGCAUUGCAAUAAUUGGAACAUCGAAUGCUAUACUCUCAAGUGUUGACUCGUGAAUCCUCAAUGCUUGGAUGGCUCAGUAUUUUCACUUGUGGCGCCCAACCUUCCAUAACCAUACCUCUUUCUGCUACCCUCUUCUGAAAUCCUUCCGGUAAUACUUCCAGCAAACUGGUAACAUUUUCUCUUCCAUGAAAUCUAACCACCCAUAUGAUGCUCGCCAUGCUCAAUUCUAAACCAUAAGCAAUCACUUCAAUUUCUUCUUUGGAGAGAAAAUAUUCGGUCCCGAAUGAGACAAAAACAACAGGAGGAGGGCCCCUUUUGCUCAGCCACUCAAAAACACAUAUCACUUGAUUUAUUUUCUGGUUCUUGAACAAGAGGACCCACAGGGAUCACCUCUUUUUUGAUCUUCAGAGAGUAAUAAUCGAUAUGUUUCUGUUCGAUCUCACUUAAUGUCUUAACCAGUACAAAAUUUGAAGAUUUCUCAAUGCAUUGGAAGUAUCUUUCCUUGUUUGUGAGACCAUUUGACACAUCAUACAUGACUUGCACGAGUUUCUGAUGCGUAUUUUUAUUGGCAAAUUCAGCUCCUGAAACGGGUAAUCCAAAGUGGGACAACCAGCAGUGUUCGAAGAAGGCACAGGUUGAUGCAGCACUAACUAGGAAAAGUACAGAUGGGAUGCUCUCUUCUCGAGCCACAGCUGCUGGUCAAGGUUGUAGAAAAUCACAAAUUACAAGGUCAAGAAAAUAGUCUUUUCCUUCAUCAAAGGCAAUUUUGAGGAAAGGCAAGAGAUGGGGUGGAAGGAUUUUGAUGGAGUGAUACUCUAGGAGGGAGUUCUAAGGUUGAAGGAAGAUAAUGAAUGUCUACGAAACGAAUCGAAGAAGAAUAAUUGUAUUUUUCAGCAAGAUAUUCUGUAAAUGGACAUAAAUUAACAGGGGUGGAACAUAUAAAUACCUGGAAAUUUGAAUUUCUGCUGGUAAGUUUCUUGGCUAGGCUAGCUCCAGGGUGAUAAAAGAGCACCUGUCAUAUCUAGAACUGAAUGGUUUCCACAACUGGUAAACCAACCAGAAAUUAGGAAAACAAAAAGAGUAAUUGGCAGCAGAACCCAUGUGCAGAUAUGCAAUAAUGCAAACAAACAGAAA
This 3640-nucleotide long non-coding RNA is filed under the name Coffea arabica (coffee). RNAcentral describes it as "long non-coding RNA (CARA_LNC000306)". Lineage: Eukaryota; Viridiplantae; Streptophyta; Magnoliopsida; Gentianales; Rubiaceae. The record is from RNAcentral.